This 468-nucleotide ribosomal RNA is filed under the name uncultured bacterium. RNAcentral's name for it is "partial 16S ribosomal RNA". It matches the Rfam family "Bacterial small subunit ribosomal RNA", at positions 28 to 507 of the family's 1533-position model. The record is from RNAcentral.
GAUGAACGCUGGCGGCGUGCCUAACACAUGCAAGUCGAACGGAAAGGCCCUGCUUUUGUGUGGUGCUAGAGUGGCGAACGGGUGCGUAACACGUGAGUAACCUGCCCUUGACUUUGGGAUAACUUCAGGAAACUGGGACUAACACCCGAUAGCAGCUCCUGAUGCCUGGUGAUGGUUGGAAAGCUUCGGCGGUUGGCGGUGGACCCGCGGCUUAUUAGCUUGUUGGGGGGGGAGUGGCCUACCCAGGCCUUGGCGGGUAGCCGGCCUGAGAGGGUGACCGGCGACAUGGGGACUGAGAUACGGCGCAGACGCCGACGGGAGGCAGCGGUGGGGAAUAUUACACAAUGGGCGGAAGCCUGAGGCAGCGACGCCGCGUGUGGGAUGACGGCCUUCGGGUUGUAAACCGCUGUCGCCUGUGACGAAGCGGGAGUGACGGUAAUAGGUGAAGAAGCACCGGCUAACUACGUG